CCCUGUCAGGGGGACAACCCGCCGAAAGGCGGGCUAAACCCGCGUACAUGCCACCGGGGCAUCCCGGAGGCAGGAAAGGCUUCGGCCGGACAGGGAUGGGCAUGCGGCGCAUUAGGCAGUAGGCGGGGUAACGGCCCACCUAACCGACGAUGCGUAGGGGUUCUGAGAGGAAGGUCCCCCACACUGGUACUGAGACACGGACCAGACUCCUACGGGAGGCAGCAGUGAGGAAUAUUGGUCAAUGGUCGGGAGACUGAACCAGCCAAGCCGCGUGAGGGAGGAAGGUACAGAGUAUCGUAAACCUCUUUUGUCAGGGAACAAAGACUGGGACGCGUCCCCGGAUGAGUGUACCUGAAGAAAAAGCAUCGGCUAACUCCGUGCCAGCAGCCGCGGUAAUACGGAGGAUGCGAGCGUUAUCCGGAUUUAUUGGGUUUAAAGGGUGCGCAGGCGGUCUGUUAAGUCAGCGGUCAAAGCCCGGGGCUCAACCCCGGCCCGCCGUUGAAACUGGCAGUCUCGAGUUGGAGAGAAGUAUGCGGAAUGCGCGGUGUAGCGGUGAAAUGCAUAGAUAUCGCGCAGAACUCCGAUUGCGAAGGCAGCAUGCCGGCUCCACACUGACGCUGAGGCACGAAAGCGUGGGUAUCGAACAGGAUUAGAUACCCUGGUAGUCCACGCAGUAAACGAUGAAUGCUGGCUGUCCGGG
RNAcentral lists this ribosomal RNA (700 nucleotides) under uncultured bacterium. RNAcentral's name for it is "bacterial SSU rRNA". It matches the Rfam family "Bacterial small subunit ribosomal RNA", at positions 130 to 828 of the family's 1533-position model. The record is from RNAcentral.